UACGUAGGGUGCAAGCGUUGUCCGGAAUUAUUGGGCGUAAAGAGCUCGUAGGCGGUUUGUCGCGUCUGCUGUGAAAACCCGAGGCUCAACCUCGGGCCUGCAGUGGGUACGGGCAGACUAGAGUGCGGUAGGGGAGAGUGGAAUUCCUGGUGUAGCGGUGGAAUGCGCAGAUAUCAGGAAGAACACCCGUGGCGAAGGCGGCUCUCUGGAACGCAACUGACGCUGAGACGCGAAAGCGUGGGGAGCAAACAGG
Molecule: ribosomal RNA, 253 nt
Filed under: uncultured bacterium
Lineage: Bacteria
Description: partial 16S ribosomal RNA
Rfam family: Bacterial small subunit ribosomal RNA
Source: RNAcentral